AACGAACGUUAGCGGCGCGCUUAACACAUGCAAGUCGAACGAGAAAGCCCCUUCGGGGGUGAGUAAAGUGGCGCACGGGUGAGUAUCACGUGGGUCAUCUACCCUUUGGUGGGGGACAACAUUCCGAAAGGAGUGCUAAUACCGCAUAAGUCCACUUCGGUGGGGAAAGGCGGCUUCGGCUGUCGCCAGAGGAUGAGCCCGCGGCCCAUCAGCUUGUUGGUAGGGUAAUGGCCUACCAAGGCUACGACGGGUAGCUGGUCUGAGAGGAUGAUCAGCCACACUGGAACUGAGACACGGUCCAGACUCCUACGGGAGGCAGCAGUGGGGAAUAUUGCGCAAUGGGCGAAAGCCUGACGCAGCGACGCCGCGUGGGUGAUGAAGGUCUUCGGAUCGUAAAGCCCUGUCGGAGAGGGAAGAAAAGCCCGAGGGAAUAAUACCCCUAGGGUCUGACGG
RNAcentral lists this ribosomal RNA (453 nucleotides) under uncultured Myxococcales bacterium. RNAcentral's name for it is "bacterial SSU rRNA". It matches the Rfam family "Bacterial small subunit ribosomal RNA", at positions 29 to 475 of the family's 1533-position model. Lineage: Bacteria; Pseudomonadati; Myxococcota; Myxococcia; Myxococcales. The record is from RNAcentral.